CGGCAGCAACUCCCCUUCAUAUUUCCCCUUUCAGCAGCUCGAGGAGGAGGGGUCAGGGAGGUGGCACGGGAGGGACUCUGAUUGACGCCGGAUCCCGAAACCGGACACCCUUGCCUUGACUUGAAAGGAGACUACAAAGGCCAGAGAGAUCUCGAGGGGAGGAUCCACGGUUCCCGCCCAGGGCGCCUUCCCGCCUCAGCCUCCCUCCCUCAGCUAUGGGUACCAAACAAGUCAGAUGGUCUCUAGGCUGAAGAGAAAAUGUCGGCAUCCAUUUAAAAAAAAAAAAAAAAAAGCCUCGCAGUCCUUACAACCGGAGGGAAAUGAUGGUUUAGGACACGUCAUCAGUUUAUUGCAGGCAGAAGACAUUUUGGCAUGGGCUCAGACCUGUGGGCAAGCGCGCUCCUUUGGUCCCUUCCCUGUUGUCCCCAGUCUGCUCCGCACCCCUUAAUCCCAAAAGUACCGCGGAGCCGAAUCCCACAGGUCCAUCAUAUCACCUCGGAAUGCUCGCGGUCCUGAGUUUUAUGAAACAUUCCUUAUUUUAAGGGGAUUCGCUUAGGACCUCUUCACACAUGAACUUGGAAACAUGAAUUUUUCCACAUUGAUACUCCCUGCCCCUCAGAUAACCGCAGCCAACUGGGAUUUCUCUGCAGUCUCUGUGCUUGUAUCACGCCAUCAUAUAAAGCAGCCCUUAUUCCAGUAGACAUCGAACUUAUAAGACACUGAGCAGAGUUGCCCAUUUUUCUACACUUCACAUUGGAACAUAAAGCAUGUUUUUAUUUCAUAAUCCAUCGUGUCCAUUGUUUCUGGACUGGAAGUGUGGUGAACUGGUGGCUCGCUAGCCCUGACAAAACUGCACAAACUUGAGCAUCAUCUCCCAAAAGGCUCCCAAAGGAAAUGAUUCCCCUCAUGAGGACAUUGAACUUCAUCCGUCACUAAAGCCAAACACACCAUCUUUUAUCAGCCUACUCUCAGUCCCAUGGUUAUCCACACACAGAGGUGGUUACUAGGAAGGCUUGAGAGAGGGCUAACUCAAAACUCUCUAGCAGCUCCACUGAGACAAACCCCUUAAAGUGUUGAGAGCUCGAAACAUUGAACCUUCACCUUAUAGCCCAUAAGAUUUACAGCGUGCAGGCUCAUAACUCCGUUGUGCUCAUAUGAAUGGAACACAAACGCUUAGCUCCUGGUUAACUGGACAAAGAGGCACCUUUUAAAGUGAUGGCUUUCUUAUAUUUAACAAGGGAGCAAGAUGGUCCCUGGUUACUCUGUGGUGGCAGCUGGAGGAGGCAAGGGCCACUUCAGCUGGGAGGUGGAUGGUGACAGCUCCCCAGCCUGUCUCUCUCUCUUCUCUCCUCCCCUCAGAGCAAGAUGGUCCUUGGUCGCUCUGGAGCGGCAGUUGGGGGUCAGAGAGCAACUACAUGUUUUCCUUUGAAUACCUGAAGAAAGCCCCUGUGCAUACAACUUCAUUGAAGUCUCUGUUCAAGUAGUUGGGAAGCCUGCCCUCUGUAUGUACAGAAAUGUGUUGGGCAGAAAUGCCCAAGUCUCUUCUAUUUCUGAAGCAUCACAUAUAUGAUCAAAUUUACAGCUGCAUAUUUGCUAUAACUGCUUUCAUUGCUGUUGCUACACCAAGCACCAAUUACCAGUGUAUUGUUAUUGAAAUGCACUCCCUGUGUCAUUCAACAGGUAGAUACAGGCUAAAAGUCAAAACUGACUUGAUGGCACACAAAAAAAGUGGGAGGUGCCUAUUGAAUAAUGAAUAGAAACUAAGAUGUCAAGCUUGUACUGUGUGGCCAGGUAUCGCCUUUGAUAUUAAUUAAAUAUUGUUUUAAUAGUUUCAACAUUGUUUUAAAGUAUUGUUUUUAAAUUUUUAAAUUAUUGUAAUGUUUUAACUUUUUCUGUUAUCAUUUAUUUUGUUUUAACUAAUGUUUUAAUUUUUUCUGUUGUUUGUUUUGCUUCAUUGUAAA
Hemicordylus capensis (graceful crag lizard) is the source of this 1961-nucleotide long non-coding RNA. RefSeq lists it as uncharacterized. NCBI's taxonomy places the organism in Eukaryota, Metazoa, Chordata, Lepidosauria, Squamata, Cordylidae. The transcript has 3 exons. The record is from RefSeq and is a predicted model, not a curated record.